This 353-nucleotide ribosomal RNA is filed under the name uncultured bacterium. Its description in RNAcentral is "bacterial SSU rRNA". It matches the Rfam family "Bacterial small subunit ribosomal RNA", at positions 32 to 365 of the family's 1533-position model. The record is from RNAcentral.
AAUCAACGCUGGCGGCGUGCCUAACACAUGCAAGUCGAACGCGAAAGCCCCUUCGGGGGCAAGUAGAGUGGCGUCCGGGUGAGUAACACGUGGGUAAUCUACCUCCGGGUGGGGAAUAACUCGCCGAAAGGCGGGCGUAAUACCGCAUAAUGCAGCGGCACCGAAUGGUGAUUAGUUGUUAAAGCGGGGGGACCUUAGGGCCUCGCGUCUGGAGAGGAGCCUGCGGCAGAUUAGCUUGUUGGUAGGGAAUGCCUACCAAGGCUGCGAUCUGUAGCUGGUCUGAGAGGACGGCCAGCCACACUGGCACUGACACACGGGCCAGACUCCUACGGGAGGCAGCAGUGGGGAAUUUU